AAAGUGUUUUUAGUUAAGGAUUUAAUUAGACUUAUUCUUUUAUUUAUUGAUAAAGGUGAAGUUAAAAAUUAUGGUUUA
Molecule: transfer RNA, 78 nt
Filed under: Pauropus longiramus
Lineage: Eukaryota; Metazoa; Arthropoda; Pauropoda; Tetramerocerata; Pauropodidae
Description: tRNA-Val
Source: RNAcentral